UACAGAGGUGGCAAGCGUUGUUCGGAAUUACUGGGCGUAAAGGGCGCGUAGGCGGUUCGUUAAGUCCUGUGUGAAAUCCCCCGGCUCAACUGGGGAACUGCACAGGAAACUAGCGGGCUUGAGUUCGGGAGAGGGAAGCGGAAUUCCGGGUGUAGCGGUGAAAUGCGUAGAUAUCUGGAGGAACACCGGUGGCGAAGGCGGCAUCCUGGACCGAGACUGACGCUGAGGAGCGAAAGCCAGGGGAGCAAACGGG
This 253-nucleotide ribosomal RNA is filed under the name uncultured bacterium. RNAcentral's name for it is "partial 16S ribosomal RNA". It matches the Rfam family "Bacterial small subunit ribosomal RNA", at positions 524 to 776 of the family's 1533-position model. The record is from RNAcentral.